AUAUCAGAACAGAGAAGAAAUGUGGUCAAAGUGGCUUUGACCAUGGAAUGAUUGCUGGUGCCAGAAGGGGUGGUCUGAGUAUCUCAGAGAAUGCUGGUCUCCUGGUGUCUACAGGCCUGUUGUUUAAUGGUAUUGGUGCAUGGCAUGAAAAUGGUUGGGAACCCCUGCUCUAGAGUUUACAGAGAACAGCAUGACAAACAAAAUUAAUCCAGUGAGCGGCAGCUGUGUGGGCAAAAAUGCCCCGUUAAUGACAGAGGUCCGAGGAGAAUGGACCGUAACUCAAAUAACUACCUGUUAUAACAGUGUGCAGAAGAGCAUACCUGAACGCAUGACUCAUCGAACCUUAGAGUGGAUGGCCUACAGUGAACACUCAACAGCCACUUCAUUAGGUAUGGGAGGCAGCACAUCAAAUUUCUCCACGUUUGCCAGUGAUUUUAAAACUUAUUCUGAUUCUGAUUGAACAUGUUCAUAAUGUUUUCAGAAUAGAUUCAAUAUUUAAAAUAAUCAGAAUCAUAAAGUAUAUUUUUUCAACUUAACUUGAUUUGAAUAGACUUUCUCCUGCUGCCUGAUUGUCGUGCAGUGGUGGUUGUCCAUCGUGUCUGACGAUGACAGGAAACCUGUGCGGGAGAGUUUUUAAAGUGGAAAAGCCAUUGCACUGGGGCAGUUCCACUCUCUUAGCCUCAGAAAUUCGGAUCCAGUGGUACAAAUAAGCAUCACGAACUGGGGUCUUCCUUGGUUGCUGUGGAUGGCCAUGACAUGCUCUGCGCUCUCCACGGAGUGUUACAGAACCACCUUCCUAGCUGUUGGAUCUCACUGUAAAUUUCAUCCACCAAGUCUUCCGGAGCUGACUUUGCAUGCUAUGACAGGCAUGUCCUUAUCUGGCCAGAGUGUGAGGCUGCUGCCUACCCUCGCCCGUCGGGGUGGAGCCGCUGUCACACUCAAUCAGCUACUUGGAGCCACAGAUUAUUCUGAGAACAGUUCCAUAGUACUGCCAAAGAGGUCCAUGGCAUAAAAAAGUUGAGAAGCCCUGGUAUAGAGCAUGCAAACUCCAAACAGAUCGAAUAUGGAUCGCUCGAAGACACACUCUCAAUGUUUCAGGAACAGCUUCUUCCCCUCUGCCAUCAGAUUUCUGAAUGAACAAUGGACUCAUGAACAUUACCUCAGUAUUCCGAUAUUUUGCAGUACUUAUUUAAUUAUAUUUAUAUAUACUUCCUAUUGUUAUUUAUAGUGUUUAUUAUAUGUAUUCAAUGUCUGUGAGCUCUCCGGUGGUUGGGUUCAACCGUGGAUAUUACGAACCAGCUGUCUGCAUGAUACACAAGCCUGGGCAGUACAAUAUGGAGAGCAAGCUGUUGCCCAUGUAGUAAGCUCCCCCUGUCCAUGCAUCUGAUGAACCCAAAGGAAUGGCAAAGUCUGAUACAGUUUGACACUCGCGGUGUUGCAGAAGUUGCCAGUCAGUGUUGAACUCAACCUAGGACUGCCUUAGGGACUCCAGCUCCAGAUUUUUCCUCGGAGUUUACUCCCAAGUUCUUCCCAUCACAGGCAUACUGCGUGCCGGUGAUAUGAAACCUGAUUCUGAAUCCUGCUCACAAUGAAUUUCAUCUGUCACAGAUUUAUCUAUUCGUUGACACAUUGUCCAUUCGCAUCACUACUACAAAGAAUCAAGUCUGAGGAUUGGGAAGAUUUCAAACAGUGACCCAAAAAAUGAAUGUUUUCUUCAUCAUUUGAUACAGAUAAUUAUCAUGCAAGUGUACUCCACCAAAAUAAAAUCAAUUGGGUUGGACAGGUAUUAGGUACUUUUCACAAAUCCUGGAAAGGGUGCCACAGUAGCGUAGCAGUUAGUGUAACACUAUUACAGCACAGGGUCCGAUUCAGACCUUAUCUGAGGGAGUCUGUCUGUCCUCCCAUGAAUGUGUGGGUUUACUCCAGGUGCCCUGGUUUCCUCCCACACUCCAAAGAUGUACUGGUUAGUAGGUGAAUUGGUCAUUGUAAAUUGUCCUGUGAUUAGGCUGGGAUUAAAUAGACAAGUUACUUGACAGCUUGGCUUGUUGGGCCAAAAAGACUCGUUCCAUGCCGUUUCUUAGGUCAGGGUUAAAUCAGGGUUGUCAGAGAUUGCGCUUUAGGGUCCAACUUGAAGGGCUGGAAGGACUGUAUCUCGAAACAAAAUAAAAUUUUAAGAAAUUGAAUCUGUCUGUCUAGAAGCUGAGCGGAGGUUAUAAAAUAUAUAACGUAGAAGAGUACAGCACAGGAACAGGCCAGUCAGCCCACAUUGUUGUGCUGAAACAUCUAAAAUUAAAAUCAAAAACAUCCAAACACUAAUCCCUCCUACCUACACAAUGUCCAUAUCCCUCCAUCUUCCUUAUAUCCAAGUGCCUGUCUAUACAUCACUUAAAAGCUUCUAAUGUCUUUGUCUCCACCACCAUACCAAGGAGUGCAUUCCAGGUCUCCUCUACUCACAUCUGGUUUGAACCUACCCCUUCUCACUUUCAAUGCAUGCCCUCUUGUAUUAGAGAUUUCUACCCUUGGAGAAAGAUACUCCCGAUCUACUCUAUCUAUUCAUCUCAUGAUCAUAUAAACUACAUCAGAUCCACCCUCAGCCUCCAACACUCCAGAGAAAACAACCCAAGUUUGUCCAACCUCUUGUUGUAACUCACGUCCACUAAACCAGAGAGCAUCCUGCUAAACAUCUUCUGCAUGCUCUCCAAAAGCUUCAACAUCCUUCCUAUUGUGGGUGACUAGAACUGUAUGCAAUGGUCCAGAUGUGGUCCAACCAGAGUUCUAUAAUAAAUUUGCAACAUAACCACUUGACUUUUGAACUCACAUAACCUCUUGAGUUUUGAACUAAUGUCAAAAACACUGAAGUUUAAUUUUAGAACUGCUUGUUAAUCCUCUUGUUAGACACACUUUGCGUAUAUGGGCUCAGUUUAGGCAACUUUAUGGUUUCCAUGGUUUUUCUUUUUUCUAGCCCUAUCUUACAUAAUCACCUUUUUUUACCUACUACAUAUGAUUCAGCAUUCCAUGAUUGGUAUAGGAAGGGCAUUAGACAUUUUGAAGAUCUUUUUAUUGAUAAUCACAUCGCAUCUUUUCAACAGCUCUCUGCUAAGUUCAAUCUGCCCAAUGCUCAUUUUUUUAGAUAUCUCCAAAUUAGACACUUUAUUAAUCCUUUAAUUCCUAACUUCCCUGAAAUGCCUGAGAAAAAUGUUAUGGAUUUAUUUCUUUCUAUUAAUCCACUAGGUAAAGGUUUAAUAUCAUUUAUUCGUGAUAAAUUAGCAUCCUUACGGCGUGCCCCUGUGGAUAAAAUUAGAAUGGCUUAGGAGCAUGAUUUAAAUAUCUCCUUAACUGAUGAGACUUGGGACUCGAUUGUCAAAUCGGUUAAUUCAAUCUCUCUUUGUGCUCACCAUUGCCUUUUACAGUUUAAGAUUGUUCAUAGAGCCCAUAUGUCUAAAUCUAAGCUAUCUUGAUUUUACCCUAACAUUAGUCCUCUCUGUGAUAAAUGCAAAAGGGGCGAGGCCUCUCUUAUUCAUAAGUACUGGUUUUGUCCUAGCUUGGGGAAAUUUUGGAACGAUCUCAUCAUAACGUUAUCUUAUAUUCUGAAUCACCACCUAGAACCUAACCCUUUAAUUGCAUUGUUUGGUUUUUUGGGUGAGACAGAUUUACGUCUGAGUUUGACUAAGUGUCGAAUAUUAUCUUUUGCUUCUCUCCUAGCUAGACAUUUAAUCCUCCUUAGAUGGAGAGAUGUUGCCCCGCCCACGAAUGCUCAAUGGCUUAAUGAUAUUAUGUCCUGCUUAGACCUUGAAAAAAUUCAUUACUCAGUUCUUAAUUCGGAUACGAAGUUCCAUAAGGUCUGGGGACCUUUUAUUGAGUACUUUCAUAACCUUCCUCUUAACUAAGGUUUUUUUUUUCGGUCCCUUGCUUUCAGCUCCUUUUUUUUUGGUAGUAGGCAUUAAUAUCUUCUGUUGCUAAGUGUAUUUACAGUUUUGGGGGGUUGAAUGUCCUGACGUAUACUCUCUAUAUUGUGUUGUGGUUGGUCUGGAGUUCUUUUUUGUUGCGGGGCUUGGGGAGGAUACCAAUUUUACAUAUCUUCAAUUUGGGUGCUUUCUCAAUUAUCUUCUUUUGUAUUAUAUUAUUAUUGUAUGUUUAUUUUUGCACUGUAUUAAUGUUCUUCAUUUCGAUCUGGGGGUUUUUUAUCUGUAGCAAUGUAGAAAAUGUAUAAAAAAAAAUAAUUAAAAAAAAAUUUUAGAACUGCUGUUGCUAGGUGAUUUUACUUUGGGUCAUGACUGGCAGAAACUUUCAGAAAGUAAACUGCUUUUUUAUUCAAAGUCAAAGGAAUUUGGAAAUCUUUUAUAAAUCAGAAAUACUCUGCAAGCUUUAAAUGUGUGUUAAGAACUAUUUGUCUAAAUUUAAACAUGUAUCAUUAAAAAUAAAAUAAACUGCCCUUCAUU
Molecule: long non-coding RNA, 4439 nt
Organism: Hypanus sabinus (Atlantic stingray)
Lineage: Eukaryota; Metazoa; Chordata; Chondrichthyes; Myliobatiformes; Dasyatidae
Exons: 3
Source: RefSeq, a predicted model, not a curated record